This is a long non-coding RNA of Austrofundulus limnaeus, 684 nucleotides long. RefSeq lists it as uncharacterized. NCBI's taxonomy places the organism in Eukaryota, Metazoa, Chordata, Actinopteri, Cyprinodontiformes, Rivulidae. The record is from RefSeq and is a predicted model, not a curated record. The transcript is spliced from 2 exons.
GAAAAAAAAAACAUGAAAGUCAACAAAUUAAAAAAAGACAGACAUGACAGGACUUACAUGAGUUAAUUACCUAAAAAUACUUGAAUUCAGUUCAUUUCAUUAAAUACAUAUGUGGACAAAAUUUGCACCCAUUUGUUAAUAAAAAGAUAAAACUCAAGUGUGUCCUGUAAUCAACAUCACAGGUGUCUUCAUUUGUAAUCAGUCUGCCUGCUUAAAAGGUGACAGGUGGCCACAGCACUGUUUGGUAUCAUGGUGUGGGGGAAAAAAAAACACUGAACAUGGAGCACCAAAGGCUGAGGAGCAAGUGUCUCAGGAUGAAGACAAUGAUUGACAUCAUGCUAAAAGGUCAAGUCUAUAAGAGCAUCUCCACGUUGGUUAAUGUUCCUGUAAYUACAGCUGCUCAGACCAAUCAGAAGUUUAAGGUCCACAGGACUGAAGACAACCUCCCUGGAUGUGUUUAUAAGAGGACAACUGAUGACAAACUGAAGAGAAAUACAAUACAAAGAGCCCAGAACAUCUUUUAAAGAGAUUAGAGGUGGUGAGGGUGAAGGUUUGDCCCCAGCAGUAUCUGCAGUGUUGCCCCCUCCUGAUUAUCCCACCUCACAGUGACCUGCACCUAGUUAAUGGUUCAGAUGUUAAGUUAUGUUUGAAUAUUUUGUUCUUUUAUUAAAAUAAUAAAACUCA